AGUGAACGCUGACGGUAGGCCUAACACAUGCAAGUCGAACGGCAGCACAGUAAGAGCUUGCUCUUACGGGUGGCGAGUGGCGGACGGGUGAGGAAUACAUCGGAAUCUACUUUUUCGUGGGGGAUAACGUAGGGAAACUUACGCUAAUACCGCAUACGACCUACGGGUGAAAGCAGGGGAUCUUCGGACCUUGCGCGAUUGAAUGAGCCGAUGUCGGAUUAGCUAGUUGGCGGGGUAAAGGCCCACCAAGGCGACGAUCCGUAGCUGGUCUGAGAGGAUGAUCAGCCACACUGGAACUGAGACACGGUCCAGACUCCUACGGGAGGCAGCAGUGGGGAAUAUUGGACAAUGGGCGCAAGCCUGAUCCAGCCAUACCGCGUGGGUGAAGAAGGCCUUCGGGUUGUAAAGCCCUUUUGUUGGGAAAGAAAAGCAGCAGGUUAAUACCCCGCUGUUCUGACGGUACCCAAAGAAUAAGCACUGGCUAACUUCGUG
This 492-nucleotide ribosomal RNA is filed under the name uncultured bacterium. RNAcentral's name for it is "partial 16S ribosomal RNA". It matches the Rfam family "Bacterial small subunit ribosomal RNA", at positions 29 to 507 of the family's 1533-position model. The record is from RNAcentral.